RNAcentral lists this non-coding RNA (621 nucleotides) under Pan troglodytes (chimpanzee). Lineage: Eukaryota; Metazoa; Chordata; Mammalia; Primates; Hominidae. The record is from RNAcentral.
AUACUGAUAGCAAAAUGGGUCUCACCUUCAAGGGUUUUGGUAGAACUGAGGGCAAAGGUUUCCUCUUUCUCAAAGGUAUCUCCCACCUCUUCCCAAGCAGCAGCAAAGUUAGGCUUCAGUACUUUCUGAAUAUGGUCAGACACAGUCACUUCGAGAUCUUCCAGCUAGUGGGUAAUAAGCAGUCAGUAAAGAAAAGUCCUUUCUGUUAUAGGGCAAAGAUAAAGGAACUAAUCAAUAUGGUCCUCCGGAGCCUAGAGAAAACUCUACCACCAAAAUAGUUUAAGUUCUGUAGUCUGGAUAAAUCUAAUGUUGUAGCCCUUAGCAAAGGAAAGCAAGAAAAUAGAACAUCUGGCAAGAGCCUCAGAUCAACAUCUGUAGCCCUGAGGUACAGAGUAGUCAUGUUGCACCCACACUUGACCACUGAGUUCUGGGCACACGGUACCCUCUGAUCAUUCACUAAGAGGUUGAUAUUUUUUAAAAAGUUUUCCCUCCAUUCUGUGAAGGCUUUUUAAUCCAUGAUCUGGCUAUAAACUAACAGCUGCUGAAGCAAAAACAAAAAACCAAAAAACAAAACCAACCUCCUCCCCAAAUCAUUUUAAAUAAAACUGAUCUCAAUGAAAA